RNAcentral lists this ribosomal RNA (465 nucleotides) under Vreelandella stevensii. RNAcentral describes it as "partial 16S ribosomal RNA". It matches the Rfam family "Bacterial small subunit ribosomal RNA", at positions 338 to 795 of the family's 1533-position model. Lineage: Bacteria; Pseudomonadati; Pseudomonadota; Gammaproteobacteria; Oceanospirillales; Halomonadaceae. The record is from RNAcentral.
CCUACGGGUGGCUGCAGUGGGGAAUAUUGGACAAUGGGCGAAAGCCUGAUCCAGCCAUGCCGCGUGUGUGAAGAAGGCCUUCGGGUUGUAAAGCACUUUCAGUGGGGAAGAAAGCCUUGGGGCUAAUACCCUCGAGGAAGGACAUCACCCACAGAAGAAGCACCGGCUAACUCCGUGCCAGCAGCCGCGGUAAUACGGAGGGUGCGAGCGUUAAUCGGAAUUACUGGGCGUAAAGCGCGCGUAGGCGGUCUGAUAAGCCGGUUGUGAAAGCCCCGGGCUCAACCUGGGACCGGCAUCCGGAACUGUCAGGCUAGAGUGCAGGAGAGGAAGGUAGAAUUCCCGGUGUAGCGGUGAAAUGCGUAGAGAUCGGGAGGAAUACCAGUGGCGAAGGCGGCCUUCUGGACUGACACUGACGCUGAGGUGCGAAAGCGUGGGUAGCAAACAGGAUUAGAUACCCUAGUAGUC